Molecule: long non-coding RNA, 460 nt
Filed under: Heterocephalus glaber (naked mole-rat)
Lineage: Eukaryota; Metazoa; Chordata; Mammalia; Rodentia; Bathyergidae
Description: lncRNA (ENSHGLG00100038460.1)
Source: RNAcentral
CAGUGGUACAGAUAUUUGGUGAGGUAUAGUGUUUUCUGCCCCCUUGACAUUCUUUUAGCAGAAGGAAAUGGAGAAGGGAGGAAGAGGGAGUUAGCGCCAAUGUCCAACGAGUGCUUGUGAUGUAUUUAGAAUGUGCUUCUCCGCAGUCUGAGCCCUGGUCCACCGUCCUCUCUUGCAUUUGAAGCUUCACCCUGACCAAGACCUCACAAGUCAGCUACAAUGUUCAAAGUGUCUGAGAUUGGUCAAAAACCCCCCUCUCUGGCAAGGCCAUCUGUGCUAAGAUCAUUUCCCCUAUUUAAAUAUUUAAAAAUAUGCACUUACAUGUCUUAUAUUUCCUUCUAUCCAAAGAUAAAGCCAUUUAAGAGGUUUGGUGGUUUGGUUGGUUUAUGACAGGAAGAUGAGAACCAAAAUGUGGAAGAUAUGCUAAAAAUAAUUUAAUUAAAAGCGCAUAAAUUUUGUU